GUAAUGGUUUCUGGGUCAACAAGUUUUUCCAUUAUCACUAAUAACUCCAACGAGUAUAAAUAGAGCUUUUCAAUAUUUCCGUGGCACUCUUCAAAUGUUCACCGUAUUAUCGACUACUUAGUCUUGUUUUGUUAUAUUAUUUUGACAUACUAUUUUCAAAAUGAGAAUUCUGCAUUUAUUCAUCGUCUUAACUUUUUUCGUCUCUGUAGCUGUCGCUUAUACUUAUCAAGGAUGCUUGAUGGCAGAUUCCAAGUGUAGUCUAGAAAAAGGAGCAGUAAAAUGUUGCCCUGGUAGUACAUGCACUAAGAUCAAUUGGUUCUAUCCAGAGUGUUAUGAUCCAAAGAAGAAAAAAGAGGAAAAAAAAUCAUCUUAUAGUAUAUGGGGCUAACCACCAAUGAAACGAUUUAUGUUUUGCCUUUAUUAUAAAAUUAUGUAUCGUUUCUAAUACGCUAUGGGAAUAUACAUAUAGAUAUAUAUUUAUUUUUAAUUUACUUAAUCACGGCAGUGAAAUUAAGUUCAGUCUGAGUCAAAAAUAUAUAUUUUAGAACCAGAUUUUUUUAAAAAUCAGAUAUUUUAUUUAAAAAUGUACUUUCCUUAGACUUAAUUAUUUAUUUCCGCAAAGUAUUGGACAGCAGCUAAAGUUUUAAAUCUAAAACUAAUUUCUUAUAAACUAAAGUCUUAAUUAUUUUUUUACUGGGAACCUUUAAAAAAAAAAAUUAAUAUUCGUAUAAUUGUUGUUUAUUGAAAUAUAAAAAUUAUUUAAUUUGUACAGAGGUGAUAAAAACUAUGAAAAUAAA
Microplitis mediator is the source of this 797-nucleotide long non-coding RNA. RefSeq lists it as uncharacterized. NCBI's taxonomy places the organism in Eukaryota, Metazoa, Arthropoda, Insecta, Hymenoptera, Braconidae. The transcript has 3 exons. The record is from RefSeq and is a predicted model, not a curated record.